CUCAUCCUUCCCGAGUAAUCGCGUCCAGUUCGUUUAUCGACCCGAUCCUACCUCGCAUUUUCUCCCAUACGUUACAGGUAUGCGUGCUCGUCAGACGUUACGACGUUUAUGUUUACCUCGAAGCCGACUUGUGUCGUCCCUUCGAAGGCGUCGGAAACCGCAGUCGGGCCGCGGCCGUGACGCCGUGCGUCGCGACGCCAGCCCCUCUCGUCCGGUUUCUUCGAUCUCCGAUGAACACAAGAUUUCCGACUUCGGCACCGUUCAUCUUGCGAUAAAUUCUUCGAAAAUUGGCGAACCGAGAUCUACGUGGAAGCUGCUCUUCCGCUUAUCUGGAUUGGAGUGGUAACAACGCGAGAUGCGCUGCCGCAAAUGAUUCCAAUCCACCCAACAAUGGACCGUAAGCUGACAACGAACCGAUCGAGUUUUACUGCCUGCUCGGCGACUAGACAAAACUUCUACAGACGGCACAUUCAACCCUUGUCGCUAUUCAGCUGCGAUUUUUCACUCGUGUACGUGAAAUACACGAUGAUUCCUCAGUUUCGUAAAGCACAAUGAGAGAUCUCAGUUUCUGAAAAAUUCUACAACUCAUCCAACGUUGACGCCUAUCUUUGUUGGGAAAGCUGCGAUAGCGGAAACGCUAAUGAAACGAAUGUAUUUUUCUUUGUGGCAAUUAACCUGCAAUUAACACGGGAUAUAAAUUAGCUGCGUUACGAUUCCGUCCACCACAAUUUUUAACGAUAGUAAUACGGUAUGAGAAUUACUCUCUGAUUAUAAUAUUCGGAAAUAAAUGUGCGGUUUGUGUUAUGACGAUAAUUAAAUUGUACUUCGAUUUUUUUUUUAUGAAAACAGAUAUUCAACCGAGAGUUGGAUGCGGAAUUACGACGAUUAUCAAUGGCUAUAACAUAUAGUUUAUUUCACCAUAGGUACACGUAGAAUUAUAUGUUUAUCGAAACACGUAAUAACUGCAAGAAUUCACGGAUGCCGAGUUAAUUACAUUUUCAAAAUUGUUGUAUUGAUUCACCAAGCGUCAGGCAGGCACUGAAUAUGAUCGGUUUACUAUCUGUUAUUGGAUUUUUACGAGUAGCCAAAGGUUGCUUCUCUAUUGUCCAGCUGCGGAGCGGAUAUGAGCCCAUCUGUUCAUCAUUACGAAUUAAUCAUUAGCUGUUGGGUUUCGAUGUGGUUAACGUUGACGAACACGAAUGACGGGUUGAGUUUGAUUGUUGUUCAUGUUAGUCACGUUAUUAUAGCGUUUUCGUGAUUGGUGUUUGUGAUUUGCAAACUUAAUGUUAGAGGGGAGAAAACCGAGUGUUUAAAUGAAUAUUCCCGCAAUUGAUUUCGCGCGUUAUGUAUUAACUUUUGGGGAUUAGAAAUAAGACAAGUCAUGAGUGUCUAUAUUCUCGAUGUUGCCUGAAUGUUAUACUUAUAAGUGUCUGUGUGUUACGGAGUUGAAUAGUUAAUCGUUUGAUGCAGUUAGAAAUUUUGCCAAAACUCAUUUUAGUGUUGCCCAAAUUACACGCAAAUACUGUAAACAUUUUUCCUCACGAAUCGAUAAUGCAGCAUAAUAAAUAUUAUCUAGACUUAUCUGUAAUCAGUCAGUAAAUUAAUCGAGCGUGUAACUUUUCGCAGUCGUCUAUAUUAGAUACGUAGCUUCGGAGUGCGAGGAUAGUAUGUAUUUGGAAAAUUGAUAAUAAAAUAUAUAGCGUGUGGUUUGAAA
RNAcentral lists this long non-coding RNA (1714 nucleotides) under Neodiprion lecontei (redheaded pine sawfly). RNAcentral describes it as "uncharacterized LOC124293386". Lineage: Eukaryota; Metazoa; Arthropoda; Insecta; Hymenoptera; Diprionidae. The record is from RNAcentral.